Molecule: small nucleolar RNA, 107 nt
Organism: Capsicum annuum
Lineage: Eukaryota; Viridiplantae; Streptophyta; Magnoliopsida; Solanales; Solanaceae
Source: RefSeq, a predicted model, not a curated record
UGAUGGUGAUGAGUAUAAUUUCUUAGCAUGAUUUUGAAUCUCUUCCAAGCUUGGUAGAGAUUUUCUCCAUCUUUCUGUCUGAAACUUAAGAUCUCACUCCUCAAUCA